UGGGAAAGACCUUCAGAUUCUCUCGCGUAUAAAAUCAAGGAAGUGUUAAAUGUUGAGUCAUAUCAAAAAAUUGGCUUCAGGCGGAUUUUCUAAAGAGACCAUGUUUUUAAACUCCCAGCAGAAUUUGCCAAUCUUUCCACACAUGUCACUGUUGGAACCUUACUCAAGAUUCCUGCCUCGGGACAGGGCCGCCGCCAGAGACCACUCGACACAGAGAUCACAGCAAAGAGACACUAUUUAUUACUAGCGCGCUAGGGUCCCCAGCACAUAAGGCCAGGAGACCCCGAAUGAUUGUUACAGACUGCUUAUAAAGGCAAAAACCACAAAUCAAACGGGGAGGUUACAAUAAGCUGAUUGGGUUACACAUUUGAACAGUUUUUGGGCGCGAGGUUUGGAAGUAACUGAUUGGUUCUAAUUAUGGUCUGAGCUAGCUGUCUCACACUGGUUGGUCAGGGGCUUAUAGGCGGGAGGAGGUAUUUCCUGGAAAUGUUUUUCUGCUUUAGUUCCGGGAACAAGGGGCGGGGGGGGCUCCCUGUCUUACCCUGGGCAUCUGGUGUUUAUGAUAGCCAUUGACACACCCUGACUCCUGGCCAUCUGGUGUUUUAGUGGCUGUAUUUUCUCUAUGGUUUCUCAUUCCCUCCUCUUUUUGUGACUUAGAGGCUCAAUCUUGAGUCUCUUCAUCAGUCUUGACUGCCUGGUACUGUUGAGUCAGGAUCAUAGCAUGCACUAUGUUUAAUUUAUCUUUAAUUAGGGUAAGCAAACGGUUAAAAAUGCAGGGCCCAAAAGUUAAAAUGAGCAUAAGCAGGAUCAGGGGCCCUAGGAUGGUGGAAAUGAGAGUACUAAACCAGGGGGAUUGGUUGUACCAAGUUUCAAACCAGCUUUGUUGGGAUUCUCUCUCUUUUUGUCUAUCAUCUAGUCUUUUUCUAAGUUUUGCCAUAGAGUCUUUAACUACUCCUGAAUGAUCAGCGUAAAAACAACACUGCUCUUUAAGGGCUGCACAGAGCCCGCCCUCUUUUAGAAAAAUUAUGUCUAGUCCCCGUCGAUUUUGGAGUACUACUUCGGACAGGGAGGUUAGAGAUUCUUCAAGUUUGGUAAUGGAGUGUUCUAUGGCCCUGAGGUCUUCAUCUACGGCUGCCCUGAGUUGUUGUAGGUGGUAGCUGCCACGCACUAAUGCCGCAGUUCCUGUCCCGACCCCAGCCGCUACUCCUAAUCCUAGCAUAACAGCGAGGGUGAGGGAAACAGGUUCUCUCUUUAUUCUAGUGAGGUAUUUUUGCUCAAACUGGGAUUCAAAAGACUCUCCAGUUUGAUAAUAAACUCGGGGCACAACUUGUACUAAUAUACAAUAAUCUUCACUGUCGUUGAAGACAGCUGCGGAUACACAAGGGGUAAGUCCGGUUUUGCAAGCCCACCAGUCUGGUCCGGAGGGUAUUAGAUAGUGACUAGUUCUGGGUACUGCCAGGGUUCUAUUACAGAGAUGUUGGUGACUGGGGGGCACCCGGCCUAUACAGGUUCCCGACCCUGACACCUCUGCUAGGGUAAGUUUCUUGUGCUGGUCCCAUGCACAUCCAGAAUGACUAGUGGAGUUAGUAAGAUUACUAACAGAGGCAAUACCUUCAUAGUAAGGGGGGCCUGUGGCCAGGCAGAGCCAGCAGGAGGUGGUGGAUUCAGGCUUUGUCUGGUUCAGGGCGAGGUAAGCGCCUCUGAUGAGGUUGAAGAGUCUAUUGCUUGUUUCCGGGUCGGGAGGCAGGCGAGUAGGCCCCGGGAGCGCCGAUGGGGAUGGGGAUUUGGAUGGGGAAACGGUGGUCGGGACUUUCUGCCGGCUCCCUCACUGAGAAGGUGCUCUCCCUGUUAGAACCGGGUUUGGCCCUACCGGGACCGAGGCUGAGACCGGGUUAACUAGUAGUCUAAUUUGGAUAGGGAGUCCAGCUGCCGGAGUUUGGUAUAAAUUUAGGCCCCAAAUUAGUCCGGUUGUCCACCGGGGGUCAGUUUUUGCGGCCUCCUCAAAUUUGACACGGAUUAAGUUACAGGUGGCCGAAUACCGUGUCCUGGUGCAGGGCUGGACAUAGGACAUGGUUAAAUACCAGGGUUGGGUUUUCCAUUUCCAUUCCCCAUCAUUAGUUGUUACACAUGACCAACUUGCACAGUACAGGGACAUUAUUUCACCACAGGUCUUUUUCAUCGGUCCCGUCCGGAAUCCAGGGCAGACAUAAAACCCGUUUCGACUUAGGGAGACUCUUCUCGCUUGCUUUCUCCACUCACCACCCUCCAUUUCAUCUAUCAUGGCUAUUUUGUCAAGAUUGAAGUAGAGGUCAGGGAACCAGGUAUUUAAAGGGGCUACAUGUGAAGUCUCGUUGAGGACUUCAUGGGUUUUAAAAUUAGUUAUUUGCCAGGUCAAUCGAUAGGGUUGGUGGGGGUUGCUGCUUCCGACAACCCAGGGAAGGAAAAGAGUUAACAGUAGGUGAGGGGUUAGACACGGGAAAGUCUUAUCUUGAGGGGGUCCCUGGAGCGACGAAGUCUCCAUUUCUCAGGCGAUGCUGAUUCUGGCACCCUCGGAGCGGCUUUUACGUGGGAUGCGUGGAUCCAGGCGGCGACCCCGUCAACUUUCACGGCAGUGGGUGUGGUGAGGAGAACGAUGUAUGGUCCCUUCCACCGGGGUUCUAAUCCUUGGGAGCGAUGUCGUCUGACAUAGACGGAGUCUCCCACUUGGAAAGGAUGACUGGUUUGUGGGUGUCCAGGCUGGUACAGUUCCGCCAAAGGAGCCCAAAUUUGGGCUUGCACCGCCUGUAGUCCUUCUAGUCGAGCCUGCAAGUCAGUCUUAGGGUUAGAGGGGGCGAAAGAAUCAAUUAAGGUUGACAAGGGGGGUGGUCCCCCAUAGAGGAUUUCAUAAGGGGUGAGCCCAAAGCGAUUAGGCGUAUUUCGGGCUCUCAAGAGAGCUAGGGAUAGGAGACGUCUCCAAUCUUUUAAGCCAGUCUCUAAGGUCAAUUUUGUUAAGGUCUCUUUAAUAGUUCUAUUCAUCCGUUCUACCUGUCCUGAACUCUGGGGCCUAUAAGCACAAUGAAGUUUCCAAUCAAUCCCCAGUAUCCUGGCAAGUCCCUGACUUACCUGGGAGACGAAGGCUGGCCCAUUAUCUGACCCGAUUACCUUGGGGAGUCCGAACCUGGGGAAAAUUUCUUCUAAUAUCUUCUUGGCCACUACGUGGGCCGUUUCUUGCCGGGUGGGGUAGGCUUCUACCCAUCCUGAAAAUGUGUCUACAAAUACUAACAAAUAUUUAUAUCCUGCAUGGUGAGGCUUUAUUUCAGUAAAAUCUACUUCCCAAUAGGUCCCAGGGCGGUUGCCCCGUGUCCUUAUCCCCGCCGGGACUCGCGUGGCCCCGGCGUUUACUUGUUGGCAGGCCUUGCAAGCGAGCGUUAUUUGUUCCAGGAGGGUCCCGACCCUGGGGAUUAGGAAGUCAGUCUUUUCAAUGAGCAGUUUUAGUUUCUUACUACUUAAAUGUGUCCAGGCGUGCAUCUGCUGCACCAUGGCCGUGGCCUGUUUUUGUGGGAGGACCAUCUUCCCGUCUUUUUCCCAAUUCUUAGUCUCUUGGUUUUCUGUGGCUCCUAAGGCUAUUGCCUCUUCCCGGUCCUCUGGUGUGUAGGUAUAACGUGGGGAAGGGGGUAUCCGGUCAGCCUUUUUGGUUUCCGAAACUAAGGUGAAUAUUCUAGCAGCCUGCUUGGCCGCCUGGUCAGCUUGCCUGUUACCCUGGGCGACGGGGUCAUGUCCUUUUUGAUGCCCAGGACAAUGAAUUAUGGCCACCUUUUUAGGGAGGAAGAGGGCCUUUAAUAAGGCGAUUAUUUCGGCCUUAUUUUUUAUUUCUUUUCCUUCUGAUGUUAGGAGACCUCGCCUCUCGUAAAUGCUCCCAUGGGUGUGGGCUGUCGCAAAGGCAUACCGACUGUCUGUGUAGAUGUUAGCCUUUUUCCCCUGCGACAGCUCUAAGGCCUUUGUUAGAGCAACUAGUUCAGCCUUUUGAGCAGACGUUCCGGGAGGCAGUGCCUGCGCCCAUAUCGUGGCAUGUCCAUCCACUUCCGCCACCCCCGCCCUCCAGGUACCUGCGUCCAUGAAGCUGCUACCGUCUGUGUACCAAGUAUGGUCUGCGUCUGGGAGCUCGUAGUCCUGGAGGUCUUCUCUAGUCCCGUGGGUCUCCGCCAGCACUUGUCGACAGUCGUGGGGGCUUAGCGGGACCUCCGGUACAGGUAGCAAGGUGGCAGGAUUCAGAGUGACCGGAGGGCCAAAGCGGACGCGGUCCAUGUCUAGUAGUAGGGCUUGGUAGUGGGUUAGACGAGCGUUGGUGAUCCAACGGUCCGGGGGCUGCCGCACUAUGGCCUCUAAGGCGUGCGGGGUAAUGACAGUCAAUGGUUGCCCAAGGGUUAACUUAGCAGAGUCUUUGACUAGCAUAGCGGUGGCUGCCAUAAUGCGGAGGCAAGGGGGCCACCCAGCCGCCACAGGGUCCAGUUUCUUAGACAAGUAGGCUACCGGUCUCUUCCAGGGCCCCAGUUUUUGGGUUAAGACCCCUUUGGCUAUCCCCCGUCUCUCGUCUGCAUAGAGGGUAAAAGGCUUGGAUGUGUCAGGUAGCCCGAGGGCUGGGGCAGAGAGGAGUGCCUUCUUUAAAGUUUCGAAGGCCUGUUGGUGUUCCUCCAGCCAGGUAAAGGGGUUGUUCCCUUUGGUGAGGGCAUAAAGGGGGGCUGCCAACUCAGCAAAACCAGGUAUCCACAGGCGGCAGAACCCGGCAGUCCCCAGAAACUCACGCACCUCCUUGGGACUCCGAGGUGGCGGAAUGCGGGCUACAGUCUCUAUCCGCCCAGGGGUGAGCCACCUUUUUCCUUCACUUAAGAUGUAUCCCAGCUGCCGCCGCGCCGCUGUC
Molecule: long non-coding RNA, 4897 nt
Filed under: Pan troglodytes (chimpanzee)
Lineage: Eukaryota; Metazoa; Chordata; Mammalia; Primates; Hominidae
Description: long non-coding RNA NONPTRT000907
Source: RNAcentral